This 689-nucleotide long non-coding RNA is filed under the name Suricata suricatta (meerkat). RNAcentral describes it as "lncRNA (ENSSSUG00005007489.1)". The record is from RNAcentral. Lineage: Eukaryota; Metazoa; Chordata; Mammalia; Carnivora; Herpestidae.
GAGUGAGCGGCUGCGCGGCUGCUGGGAGGGUGAAUGAAGCCAGGAGGAGGGGAAGGAGGAGGCGGCGGCGGCGGAGGAGGCGCUGCGGGGAUUGGGAUGCGCCCUGGAGCCCCGCUGCUCGUUCACUCUGGGCCGGGCCGGAGACUCCGCCACUCCCGCGGCCGCCGCCGCCGCCGCCUCCUACGUGGUUCCAGCGCUGCGAGCAGGCCGGUCCCGCAGGGGGCAGGGAAGGGGCCGGCCGGGCGGAGCGAGAGGUCUUUACCUCACAAAAACUACUACAAGCACCAGGCUCCCUGAUGGAAAGAAGCACCGUGCAGCAAGUCGCGAGGCUGGUCCGCGCACGCCGGGGAUUGGUUUGCCAUCCUUGUGAGACGGUCUCCUGCUCCACGGCCACUCCAGGGAGGUGCGCCCCAUAUCAGCUUUCUGUCUUCAGUUUCCCAUUUUUAGCUGGCAAAGAACACCAGCCAGAAGAAAGCCAGGUUCAUGGUGCUGCAAGGUGCAUCAAACCAUCUGUAGAUAAGAAGGUAACAUUUUGGCCUAAGAACCACCUUCUAAUAUAAGAUAGAAGAUAAUAUAAUAACUGAGAUAGCAUACAAAAGGGCCCUGUUAAUAAGAAUUUGAAAAUAAGAUUUUUCCUAAAUAACCAAAUUUAUUUGGUAGUUGGGUAAGACUUACGUGAUACAAACAGG